GUGGGGAAUAUUGGACAAUGGGGGGAACCCUGAUCCAGCCAUGCCGCGUGUGUGAAGAAGGCCUUUUGGUUGUAAAGCACUUUAAGCGAGGAGGAGGCUACCGAGAUUAAUACUCUUGGAUAGUGGACGUUACUCGCAGAAUAAGCACCGGCUAACUCUGUGCCAGCAGCCGCGGUAAUACAGAGGGUGCAAGCGUUAAUCGGAUUUACUGGGCGUAAAGCGCGCGUAGGUGGCCAAUUAAGUCAAAUGUGAAAUCCCCGAGCUUAACUUGGGAAUUGCAUUCGAUACUGGUUGGCUAGAGUAUGGGAGAGGAUGGUAGAAUUCCAGGUGUAGCGGUGAAAUGCGUAGAGAUCUGGAGGAAUACCGAUGGCGAAGACAGCCAUCUGGCCUAAUACUGACACUGAGGUGCGAAAGCAUGGGGAGCAAACAGGAUUAGAAACCCGAGUAGUCC
RNAcentral lists this ribosomal RNA (451 nucleotides) under uncultured bacterium. RNAcentral describes it as "partial 16S ribosomal RNA". It matches the Rfam family "Bacterial small subunit ribosomal RNA", at positions 354 to 796 of the family's 1533-position model. The record is from RNAcentral.